Molecule: ribosomal RNA, 17 nt
Filed under: Ulvella sp. 1-BER-2007
Lineage: Eukaryota; Viridiplantae; Chlorophyta; Ulvophyceae; Ulvales; Ulvellaceae
Description: partial 28S large subunit ribosomal RNA
Source: RNAcentral
CGACCGAGUCAGAGAGG